RNAcentral lists this unclassified non-coding RNA (4012 nucleotides) under Nilaparvata lugens (brown planthopper). RNAcentral's name for it is "uncharacterized LOC111055398, transcript variant X3". Lineage: Eukaryota; Metazoa; Arthropoda; Insecta; Hemiptera; Delphacidae. The record is from RNAcentral.
UGUGACGCAAUAAGUCGCCAUUCUUUGAGUUUAGCGUUGAGUGUCAAAAGCAAGCCAAGUGAACAGACGUUGUUAUCAUGAAGUUGUUUAACCAUUCUCGGACUUUACGUUGUGAUAAUAAUUAUUAAGUGGAGGGGAUUUGGAGGGGCUACAGACUUCACUAUAAAUACAAUCUUUUGCGUUGUGAGUGCCAGUGUUGAAAUACAUUACUCGGAAUACACAGUGGUUUCACAGAGGAAGGAGGGAACUUUACUUCAUUGAGCGGUAACUAGUUUAUGGAGCGAGAGAAAAAUAGUUUAACAUCGGACGGCCCUGUGUUGGCUCUAAGCUGUCGCAGGGAAGAGAAUGGCUGGGUGCCGACGGUUGGGCGAUGGGGCUGCGAAUGGCCGAGUUGACUCGAAACUGCUGACAAGACACUUUGCAAUGACGGAGGCGGGGGUGGGGCGUGGCCGCAAGACCACCCACUGCCGCUGCCUCGCUGGGGGACGGGAGGCGGGGGCAAGUCUGGCUCCGCCCCCACCCCCAUCCUGCGCCUGCCCACCAUCGAGGCUUAUGAGGAGUUGGCGCUGACCGUAGAGUUGACUGUGCAGCAACUGAUACACCGCCAUAACUACAAUACUGUCGGCAAUUUCAUCAGGUUCUACCAGGCAUACCGCGCCAGCCGCGAGUCCAGUCUGGCCCACUUCUACCAGGCGUACCAACCGCCCAUCACGGCCGCUCACCACACGUGCGUCGGCCUCGGCCUGGAGCUGUUGCAGCGGUUGGCAGCCCUGGACGGCCGCUUCCCCGGCCUCAGCCGCCAUGUCUACCUGGUCAGCUGCGAGGAGGCCGUCGAUCAUGCCGACGAGUACGUGAGGAGGGAACCUGAUCCCUGGUCUACCGAGAAGGAGCAUGUACUAGUUGCAUGUCAGGUUGAAAUAGCCGGACGUCGCGGAAUUAUGCUGUUGGACCCAGGCUACCAUGUUGCCAGGGUGGUUACUGUCAUGUACGAUCAGAUGUACCCGCAUACAGGUUGGUUCACGCAAUCGAAGGAAGGUGACAUGCGUAAAGACUACAACUACGCGUUCGCGUCGGGUGCGGAUGAAGCCGGCUACGUGGUGUGGCGUGUGCGUGACUCGAGGGGCGCCGCGACGCCUGUUAAGGUGUCGCACAGUGUCAUCUUUGUGCGUCGGCCGUUCCUGAACGCGAUAGAUGUCGCCGAGAGACGCAACCUCGUCUACAAUUUCCGCAGUUUGUUGGCGCGUAACACCAAGGGUCAGCUGACGGCUGGUAUCUACUUUGGAGUGCCCGAAGUAACGGCUGGGGGGAGAGACAAACCAUUGGUGACCCUCUUCUAUCAGGCUGAUGGAGUCAAGAAACGCGAGAAGGUGGCUUUCGAUCUAUUUGCCACCCCUGACAUGAAACUGGACCCAGCCCUAGCCAAAAGCGUGGCGCUCUGCGGCGAGCAGCUCGGUCUUCCCGAGUCGGGUCUCAGAGACCUGCUCUACAAGUUGGCUCACAUCCUCACCGACGCAUCAUUCAUCAGUCAGAUGCUGGCCAUCAAUCAGGCCAUCAUUCUCAUGUCGGACGACAACUGAGAACUACCUCCAUCUCACUCCCACUCGACCACCCCGCAUCUCACAUCUCGUUCACUCAUCAUACUAGCGUCGUUCGUUUUCCUAACACUCAUUAUAAUAUUUUACAAGACGCAUCAGUUUUGGUAAAUUUCAUUUGGUUUCAUUUAGCAUUUUUUGUGGUUCAAUCUACGAUAACUUUUUAGGCUGGGGUUAGAUUCAUACAAAGCGUGAAUCAUCAAAAUGAUAGGGAGAGAAAAAAUAAGGUAACCUUGUGCUAUUCCUCUCACAAAUUUGGAUAAGGUUCCUGAUUUGGUUGGAGGGAGAGAAAAAAUAAGGUAACCUUGUGCUAUUCCUCUCCCAAAUUUGGUUAAGGUUCCUAAUUUGGUUGGACUAGAAGAGCCUAGAGCUAGAACACGAAUUUUAGAGCUUAAAACACUUAGAAACAACCUGACAUGAGAGGCUUGUUAAAUUAUGUCUCCAAAAGUAUACUGAUUCUUUAUUGAUCCAUACAAGUACAUUAACAAAAAUGAUAAGGAGAGAAAAAAUAAGGUAACCUUGUGCUAUUCCUCUCCCAAAUUUAGAUAAGGUUGGAUAAGGUCUAAAAGAGCUUAGAGCAUAGAGCUAGUACACGAAUUUUGGAGCUUAAAACAUUUAGAAACAACCUGACAUGAGAGGCUUGUUGAAUUAUGUCUCCAAAAGUAUAUAUUGAUUCUUUUGUGAUUCAUACAAGUACAUAAUCAAAAAUGAUAGGAAGAGAAAAAUAAGGUAGCCUUGUGCUAUUCCUCUCUCAAAUUCGGAUAAGGUUCCUCAUUUGGUUAGACUAAAAGAGAAUAGAGCUAGAACACGAAUUUUGGAGCUUAAACACUCAGAAACAACCAAACUUGAGAGACUUGUUAAAUUAUGUCUCCAAAAGUGUACUGAUUCAUACAAGUACAUUAACAAAAAUGAUGAGGAGAGAAAAAAUAAGGUAACCUUGUGCUAUUCCUCUCCCAAAUUUAAGGUUACACACAGUCCGAAAUAGGUCAAGACUUGUAGUUGUUCACUUUACAAAAUUUACAGUUAUAAAUUAUUUUCACAAAGUAGAUAUGAAUCCCCUCUUAGGACCGUUUGCACAGUCAAAGCUUCAUCUGAGUUUAAUCAGCUGUGGAUUUAAACUCAAAUGAACUACAUUAUAAAGAACUAGACUUGAUAUCUAUUCAAUCCAGUUAAAAUUGAUUUGAUAUUUAGUUAAAACUGGCACUUUGAAACAACCCGACAUAAUUAUGAGACGCUUGAUAAAUUAUGUCUUUGAAAGAGCAUGAAUCAAUUAUAAGGGCCGUUUGCACUGUCAAAUCUCAAACUGAAUUCAAUCAGCUGGUGGUUUUAAAAACUUGGAAUGAACCACAUUAUAAUAAACGAGACUUGAUAUAUGGAUUUAAAUUGAUUUAAACUGGCACAAACGGCACUAAGUCUAGUUACACACACAUCGAGUUUUGAACGUACGAUUUUUUCUCCGUCCUCAUAAAUACUAUAAUUAGAUAGGGCAUAACUUGGCAAACAGGUGAUGGGUUUGCCAAGUUCCAUUUGAUCUGGCCCUUUUUCAUAAAAACUUGGAAGUCCUGUAAUACAGGAACAGCUGAUUUUAUCGGCUAUAUUGAGCAUGUAAUUGGAAUGUUGAUUCUCCUGUAUCACGUGACUUAUAAGUUUUAUGAAACAGGGCCCAGGUAGAAUUCAUAAGGACGGCAAAAAUCGAACCUCCAAAAAUCGAUGUGUUUGUUGAGCUAGUAAGGUCUCGUGGCUUCACAGCCGCGUACUGUGUUUAUCUACAUUUUCAUUAAUCUUUGUUCACAAAAAAGAUUCGCUCGUUUGAUCUAAUCCCAGCCUAAGAGAACACUAAAAUCUUAUUAUAAUAAUUUUAACUUCUUGAUUUGUUGUAUUUUUUCAAGUAUGAUUCAGUGUUGAGGACACAAGGCCGGUCUCACACUGCUCACGAAUAUCGUAUCAUAUAGUAAUUGUUAUAAUUUACGAAUAUGGUAUCCAGAAGUAAUUAGGUCGUUAAUUUCGAAUUGUGAUCUUUGACUUAGGCCCAUAUGCACCUUCUACGCAAAUCUAGGUUUACUAGAAGGUAUGGUCGUAUUUAUUAUGUGUUAAAACCAACUGGUUUAAAUCAAUUACUGGCCAAUCUCAGUUUAAGGGUCGCUUUCUCCAAAGUUGGUUCAACUACUAAACCCUGUUAAAACCAACUGGUUUAAACCAAUCGCUGAAAAAUAUCAUUUAAAUUUUAUUUGGUGAUCGGUUUAUUAGUUGACAUUAAUCGUGCAUUGGUUAUAUUAUAAUUAUUGUUGAUUUUAAUUGAAUAUUUGACACACAACUUAGUUUAGUUGUAUUAUCCACACACAUAAACUAUCAGGACCGUAAUAAGCUUGUAAAGAUGUAGAGCGCAAACGCUUGGAAUAAAGGGAAUUAUCCAGUGAAAA